UCAGGAUGAACGCUAGCGGCGCGCUUAAUGCAUGCAAGUCGAGCGAUGAGGCCUCUUCGGAGGGUACAUCAGCGGCAGACGGGUGAGUAACACGUAGGUGACCUGCCCUAAAGCUGGGGAUAACGGAUGGAAACAUACGCUAAUACCCAAUAGACCUGUGAGGUCGCACUCAUAGGUAAAGCUCCGGCGCUUUAGGAGGGGCCUGCGGCCCAUCAGCUAGUUGGUAGGGUAACGGCCUACCAAGGGGAAGACGGGUAGGGGGUGUGAGAGCACGAUCCCCCACAAUGGGACUGAGACACGGCCCAUACUUCUACGGGAGGCAGCAGCAGGGAAUAUUGCACAAUGGACGCAAGUCUGAUGCAGCGACGCCGCGUGGAUGAUGAAGGCCCUCGGGUCGUAAAAUCCUUUUCAGGGGGACGAGGAAGGACGGUACCCCUGGAAUAAGCGUCGGCUAACUACGUGCCAUCAGCCGCGGUAAGACGUAGGACGCAAGCGUUAUCCGGAUUUACUGGGCGUAAAGCGUCUGUAGGCAGUUCGAUAAGUUGGGCGUGUAAGCUCCGGGCUUAACCCGGAGAGGUCGUUCAAUACUGUCGAACUAGAGGACAUCCAGAGGAGCAUGGAA
Molecule: ribosomal RNA, 622 nt
Filed under: uncultured organism
Description: bacterial SSU rRNA
Rfam family: Bacterial small subunit ribosomal RNA
Source: RNAcentral